This 250-nucleotide unclassified non-coding RNA is filed under the name Diaporthe batatas. RNAcentral describes it as "partial internal transcribed spacer region". The stretch from base 1 to 46 matches the Rfam family "Eukaryotic small subunit ribosomal RNA", at positions 1786 to 1831 of the family's 1831-position model. The record is from RNAcentral. Lineage: Eukaryota; Fungi; Ascomycota; Sordariomycetes; Diaporthales; Diaporthaceae.
AAGUCGUAACAAGGUCUCCGUUGGUGAACCAGCGGAGGGAUCAUUGCUGGAACGCGCCCCUGGCGCACCCAGAAACCCUUUGUGAACUUAUACCACUGUUGCCUCGGCGCAGGCCGGCCUCUUAGCUGAGGCCCCCCGGAGACGGGGAGCAGCCCGCCGGCGGCCAGCCAAACUCUUGUUUCUAUAGUGGAUCUCUGAGUAAAAAAACAUAAAUGAAUCAAAACUUUCAACAACGGAUCUCUUGGUUCUG